UUCCUUACAUAUCCCCGUUCUCUUUCACCGGCAGCACCGUGGACAGUAGCUGUGAGGAAGCAACUCGAAUAUGUCGUCUUUCAUCGACGAAAAACAUUUAUGCCUCAACAAGAAGUUUUCUACGCGUGAGCCGCCAUGAAAAGGUUGAUACUGGAAUGAGCUUCAUCUCUCAUCCAACGACCGCGGACCGGAUUUUCAUCCUAAUAAAUGGGCGGUGGAUUUUCUGACCUACAUGAAAUGAACCCCAAAGGGAGGUUGAAUUCAUUGAGGUGUGAACAUCAGUGCAAGACUGAGGGGAGAAAUUGGUGCUGAAAGAUUGAACAG
This is a long non-coding RNA of Cheilinus undulatus (humphead wrasse), 324 nucleotides long. RefSeq lists it as uncharacterized. Lineage: Eukaryota; Metazoa; Chordata; Actinopteri; Labriformes; Labridae. The transcript has 4 exons. The record is from RefSeq and is a predicted model, not a curated record.